GAUGAACGCUGGCGGCGUGCCUAAUACAUGCCAGUCGAGCGAACAGACGAGGAGCUUGCUCCUCUGACGUUAGCGGCGGACGGGUGAGUAACACGUGGAUAACCUACCUAUAAGACUGGGAUAACUUCGGGAAACCGGAGCUAAUACCGGAUAAUAUAUUGAACCGCAUGGUUCAAUAGUGAAAGACGGUUUUGCUGUCACUUAUAGAUGGAUCCGCGCCGCAUUAGCUAGUUGGUAAGGUAACGGCUUACCAAGGCAACGAUGCGUAGCCGACCUGAGAGGGUGAUCGCCCACCCUGGACCUGAGACACGGUCCAGACUCCUACGGGAGGCAGCAGUAGGGAAUCUUCCGCAAUGGGCGAAAGCCUGACGGAGCAACGCCGCGUGAGUGAUGAAGGUCUUCGGAUCGUAAAACUCUGUUAUUAGGGAAGAACAAAUGUGUAAGUAACUAUGCACGUCUUGACGGUACCUAAUCAGAAAGCCACGGCUAACUACGUG
RNAcentral lists this ribosomal RNA (497 nucleotides) under uncultured bacterium. Its description in RNAcentral is "partial 16S ribosomal RNA". It matches the Rfam family "Bacterial small subunit ribosomal RNA", at positions 28 to 507 of the family's 1533-position model. The record is from RNAcentral.